CCACCCCAGGUGUAGAUCAGGUCUCUCCACCCCAGGUGUAGAUCAGGUCUCUCCACCCCAGGUGUAGAUCAGGUCUCUCCACCCCAGGUGUAGAUCAGGUCUCUCCACCCCAGGUGUAGAUCAGGUCUCUCCACCCCAGGUGUAGAUCAGGUCUCUCCACCCCAGGUGUAGAUCAGGUCUCUACCCCCCAGGUGUAGAUCAGGUCUCCGCCCCAGGUGUAGAUCAGGUCUCUACCCCAGGUGUAGAUCAGGUCUCCACCCCAGGUGAAUGCCAGGUCAGAGACGACGAACAGGUAACCGUUGAGCUCCCUCUGCCCGGCAGGGUGGACUGAAGACAACCUCUGUGAAGCAGGAGAAGGCUAGGGCGAACUUGGGGAAGGUGAGGGCGCGGGAGAGGGAGGAGCCAAGGCAGGAAGCGGUCUCUUGGUAGGUCACGGCACGGAGCAGGGGGUAGCAGGGCUGGUCCACCUCUGACCCGGAGAGGAUGAGGGAGCGGAGGCAGUGGCCAGGGUGUAGGUGGGGAGGUAAGAGGGGAGAGGAGGGGAGAGGAAGGAAGGUGGGGAUGUAAGAGGGGUAGAGAGGAGGGGAGCGGAAGGAAGGUGGGGAUGUAAGAGGGGUAGAGAGGAGGGGAGCGGAAGGAAGGUGGGGAGGUAAGAGGGGGAGAGAGGAGGGGAGAGGAAGGAAGGUGGGGAGGUAAGAGGGGGAGAGAGGAGGGGAGCGGAAGGAAGGUGGGGAUGUAAGAGGGGGAGAGAGGAGGGGAGCGGAAGGAAGGUGGGGAGGUAAGAGGGGGAGAGGAGGGGAGAGGAAGGAAGGUGGGGAUGUAAGAGGGGGAGAGAGGAGGGGAGCGGAAGGAAGGUGGGGAGGUAAGAGGGGGAGAGAGGAGGGGAGAGGAAGGAAGGUGGGGAUGUAAGAGGGGGAGAGAGGAGGGGAGCGGAAGGAAGGUGGGGAUGUAAGAGGGGGAGAGAGGAGGGGAGCGGAAGGAAGGUGGGGAUGUAAGAGGGGG
This is a long non-coding RNA of Oncorhynchus keta (chum salmon), 1002 nucleotides long. RefSeq lists it as uncharacterized. The record is from RefSeq and is a predicted model, not a curated record. The transcript has 5 exons. NCBI's taxonomy places the organism in Eukaryota, Metazoa, Chordata, Actinopteri, Salmoniformes, Salmonidae.